AUAACGACUGCGCUUCUAUCCGGGGCAGGCCUCGAGAAAAUGAAUAACGAAAUUAUAGUGAUUUCUUCACACCUAGUAUCUAAAUCGGUGCGCGCCGCCAUUUUAGAGAUCUGUCUCGAAGGCGGUGUUGAGUUGAAAGCGCAAUUUUGGAAUGAAUCUUUAAUAAUAAAUAAUACAACGAAAUUGUCGAUUGGCAUUUUAAUCAUCACUCCACGGGAAGGCGAACCUUCAAUUUCGAUACUUUUAUUUCGCCUUUUGGAACAACUAAAUACAUCAUAAAAUUAAAGAUUCGCCCUCACCGACUGAUGAUUACAACACCAAUCGACAAUUCUGUUGUGUACAGCGACCUUUCGAUGAAUGCGUAACACCAAACUCAAAAUUCAAAAAUUUCGGUACCUCCAAUAAAAACUACUGUAUCUCGGAUUUCAAAACGACUUUUCAAGAUGGCCACGCGCACCGGUUCGGGUACUACGCGUGGAGAAAAAUACGGUACUAUAAUUUCACCAUUCAUUUUUCUCCGUGCUUCCCCGGAUGGAGGCGCAACCCUUUUGGAAAGUUUUCUCUACUUGUCAUCUUUCUAUUGUUACUAUUUUCAUUCAUAUGGCAUUU
Molecule: long non-coding RNA, 609 nt
Filed under: Androctonus crassicauda
Lineage: Eukaryota; Metazoa; Arthropoda; Arachnida; Scorpiones; Buthidae
Source: RNAcentral